This 409-nucleotide ribosomal RNA is filed under the name Blastocystis hominis. Its description in RNAcentral is "SSU rRNA". It matches the Rfam family "Eukaryotic small subunit ribosomal RNA", at positions 524 to 943 of the family's 1831-position model. The record is from RNAcentral. Lineage: Eukaryota; Bigyra; Opalinata; Blastocystidae.
UGUACAACUCUUAUCGAUAAGCCAUUGGAGGGCAAGUCUGGUGCCAGCAGCCGCGGUAAUUCCAGCUCCAAUAGCGUAUAUUAACGUUGUUGCAGUUAAAAAGCUCGUAGUUGAAGUGUGGGUGAUCGCUGUUGUGAGACUUCGGUCUCUCGACAGUAAGUCACCCCCUUCCAGUAUCCAGUAGUGGGUAUUCAGUUACUUACUAUUGUGUGUUGGUCAUUUACUGUGAGAAAAUUAGAGUGUUCAAAGCAGGCGUUUGCUUGAAUAGAUUAGCAUGGAAUAAUAAUUGAAGGCUUUCGUGUUCGAUUUGAUUGGUUUGUUCAUGGAAGCAAGGUUAAAAGGAACAGUUGGGGGUAUUCAUAUUCACUAGUUAGAGGUGAAAUUCUCGGAUUUAUGGAAGAUGAACAAG